UGGAGCCAGUGGAAUUUGGAAGAA
RNAcentral lists this non-coding RNA (24 nucleotides) under Mus musculus (house mouse). The record is from RNAcentral. Lineage: Eukaryota; Metazoa; Chordata; Mammalia; Rodentia; Muridae.